Long non-coding RNA from Oryza sativa Japonica Group (Japanese rice), 519 nucleotides. RefSeq lists it as uncharacterized. The record is from RefSeq and is a predicted model, not a curated record. NCBI's taxonomy places the organism in Eukaryota, Viridiplantae, Streptophyta, Magnoliopsida, Poales, Poaceae.
UAGCUGAAGGCCUGGUAAACUACUCCGCCGCCAAGAGGCCCUAGCAAGGCAGCAUUUCCACCUCGCCGCCGCCGUCAUUGCCGCCGCGGCGCGGGCGUUUGCUCCGCGACGAGGACUCGAUGAGGGGAAAUGUCUCCAGCGUCAUCUCCGGCGGCGACGAGGCUUUCCAAGUGAUCAACGAUCCUGCUAGUGUGAGUUCUCCCUAUGUAUUACUCUAUAUUGGCAUUUAUCCUUUUAAGUGCCAUCUCCUUCAGACUUCAGUGAGCAAGUAGCAUUUUGGUCUUCCUAGCAAGUAGCAACAUAUCAUCACAAAAUCAGAUCUUAUGAUCUUGUGGUGUUUUUAAUUUCUUCUCCUAAUUUGUUUAGGAGUCAUAAAUGCACCAAAGAGAGGAUGUUUGUUUCUUUAUUUAUGACGGAAGUGACUGAAUUAACGGAAUAAAACACCAUUGUAAUAGUCUGGCACUCUGCUGCUGCUAGUACUGCAUUUGUGUUACUUAAACUGGUGUCUUCACUUGUGAA